Molecule: non-coding RNA, 12393 nt
Organism: Pelobates cultripes (western spadefoot toad)
Lineage: Eukaryota; Metazoa; Chordata; Amphibia; Anura; Pelobatidae
Source: the annotation of a GenBank genome assembly
CCCAGAGCCACCGACCAAGCACCCUCGCGCGCCGUCCCUCCUGGCACCCACACCUGUCCCACAUCUGACUUAUGAGUACCUCCUUGUCCCCAAGAGUCAAUAAGGUGUUGUAAAGAGGACAGUAAGCCAAGUGAACGUGCAUUGGUAGACUCACUGACCAAGCCCUCCACCUGCAAAGGUCCUGGGGCUGCUCCUUGAGAAAUGAUCAAACUAUUCGCUCUAACCGGGGGAACCCUCUGAUUCUGGACGCCUCCUUGGGGGUACUGGCUGGAGGACCUGGAACAAGAAGGAGAAUUCCUGGUCACAUUGCACUUUCCAUACUUACCCUCGCCUUACCUCCCAGGGAUCGCCGGACCGAAGCCCUGGCACCCCACCUGCAGUCGCGGCCAUGGCAGUCGUACAGGGACCUGGAAGCCCUGCUAGCCCUCCCUCUGGGGCUAUGACUACGGCUGCGCACGUGACUAGGCCUGGGCUGUGCCCCCCACGAGGUUGUAACCGAAUGCCCCCCAAAGGAGCCACUGGUCUCCGAUGCUAACCCAGAGAUGUAGCCGCCACCCCUGGACGCUCUUCUUCCCGACUCUGACGAGCCAUCAUCCCUGCCAGCCAAAGGACUCCCUCCCUGCCGCGCCUCGGUUUUAGGGAACCUGUUACAUCGAGACCUACGCCUGGCCAAGUGCGACCGUCGCCGGCCCCAGGGCUCGUGUCCCGUGAAGCGUGAGUAGUGUGGUCCGCCUGCCCGCUGUGGCCAGCUGUAACAUCCAAGGUGCGAGUCCGGUGGCCCAUCUGCUUCCUGGACACCUGAACAGCGCCACCCGAAGCCCUGGUAACACACCCCCAUGGACACUGUUGCACAUGGCGCAGCACAUGCCCCGCAUCAUCGUCAUCAACGUUCUGUGGAUUGCGAGCCAGAGAGGUUGGGCGUGGAGACUCAUCUGAAUCAGGACAGCCCUUCCCACACCUGAGAAUGCUGCCAUAGCAGGAGACCCCCCCCAAGUACCCCAGGGGGCUUUGCGGUCUUUCUGUGCUCACUCCUUGCUGCGUCCCCCUUCUGCAAUAGGCCUGCCGUGUUCCCCCCGGCGGACAUUCCCAAGGACCCCCUGUCACUGGCUGCCAGGUGCCCCUGCUCGUGGUUAAUGACACCCCCCAAACCAGAGGGGCCCACUGCCUGCCUCACCCCUGGGUAAAGCCCUAGAAUGCCUGCUCCCACUCCCAACAGCGCCCCCUGUGGUGGAGGGACCUGCUGCUAACCCACCAAGGCCAGUACUUCCCUGAGGGCUGCUUGUCCCUUCAAGAACCAGGAGCCAUCCAGACCUGGGACUCUCUUCUUGCCCACCAGGCAGAUCACCACCAGGGGGCCCCAUCGCCGCUGGAACUCCCAGGCCCUGCCUGCCUCCCCCAUGGGAGCCUGCUCUCCAAGCGCGGCACCCGUUGGACCGGGUGUCGUGCUGCCUUGGGGUGAUGGUAGUUGCGGUUCGUGAGCACGCCGCCUGGGUUCCUUCGCGGAGGGCGGAGUCAACGAUGCCCGCCUCACGCACGGUUGAGACAACUCGCGGCUAGCUCCAGCCAGGCCCGCUGAUCCUGUGGGAGUCUCCCCCAUCUCCAGCCCCGGGCUGAGGCGUUGCGGUGGCUGCUCCGCGGCCAUCUUGCUCUGUUGCUGGCCUCACCGCCGCCAGCCACUUCUGCAGCCACUCCGUCCUUCUGCUCCAUGCAGCCUCCAGAACGCAGACCAGCAGAUCCUCCACCAACCGCUCAGCCAUCCUAAAAGACAAAGAGAAGCUAACCAGGCCCAAUCAGAGCAACAAGCGUGCACCAACUCUGCAAGGUAAGAAAUUAGAAUGAGGGAUCCAAAAUGGCUGACCCUUUAUAUCAGCCAACCCAAAAAACACUAACCCACCAAUCCCCACUAUUGCUCACGCCCCCAGCCCUCCUCCUGUCAGGGCCCUAUUCCCUAAGCUGCACUUUCUCAAUGGGCUUCAUAAAUAAAUGCUUACAUGUUUUUUUGUUUUUGGCGGGGUAUGUGAUCACUUCUAAACAAAUUCCCAUGUCUUCCCCCACAAACCAUGACUUAACAUCAUUAAAUGGGAUGUUCAUCAUUGAAGGCAAAGUCUGAAGUAAAUUUUCACCUUUGCCCAUCAAAGAAAUAGAAGGAUUUAUUCAUCUUGAAUUGUGUAAUGUUCUACUGCACACAGUUUAGCAGUUGUAUGCCAUCAUAUCGAGAAGGACUAAAACUGUUUAGUAUCUUUACAUUGACAGUAUCAAUACAAUUUCUGAUUGCUUUGAUCAAUAGCUUAUGUAGCUGUAAGGCUUCCAAUGCUGUCUAUUAGCCCUAUUGUACAGCGCUGCAGAAUAUGUUGGCUCUUAUAAAUAACUAAUACAAAUACCAUCAUAUCUUGUAGCCAUGUUAUAUACAUAUGCUAUACUGAAUGGGACUUCAGCUCCUGCUGUGCAACUCUCUGUCGUUUAAGUAAAAUGACUUAGCGUGCUGGAAUGUAAACACUGAUUAUUGCUCUCACAGCAUACGCCCAAAAAUCAUGUCUCGAUUUGCUGUAUGACACCUAGCCAAUUCCAGAGCUGCAUAAAAUUAAAGUGCAACUGAUUUUUAUGUAUAUUUCCAUGAGUACCAUUACUUGUUUGUAGAACAUUCUACAGCUGUAUAAAUAUAGGCAGGGUUAUAGGCAGAUUUUUGUACACAUUAAAUCUGAACACACAAAUUAAGGCAAAAAUAGCCCAGUUGUGAAUUUGAGUUGGAGAAUUUUUCCAGAUCAGCUAUUUUUGCCUCAAAUUUUCCAUUGAAAUUUAAUUUGCUCACAUGAGCAUUCUUAUUAUUUAAUUGCAUUCACUUAUGCUUUUACCAGAACAAGUCUCAUUUUGUUAUAACGCUAAGAAAAAUGUUUUUUGUUUUUUUUAAUGAUAAUUUUGUAACUAGUGACAAGGUUUGAUGUCGAACAGUUAUCCCUCUUGAUAAAUUCAGGUAGAAUAUAAGAAUUUACUUCUUUUUUUUUUUUUAUUCUACCCCCUGUAGCAUGCAUAAAUACCUCUGUAUCUAGGUAGUUUUGGGAAUCUAAUCAAUUAUUUAGCAUCUAGAAUGUGCAAUCAAAUUGUAAUAAUUUAGCCUGCGUCAGCAGCAAUAUAAUAGCUAUAAUUCUCUUUAUGUGAUAUUUCAUCUAUAUGAAGGUCAGCAGGAAAUUUACAUGUAUAGAUCAUCUUUAAUUGGUUCUAUCUGCUAUGCACAUAAAAGGCAGUCUGACUGAUGCUUAAAGGAUAGAAUGUUGUCUUUUUUGUAUAUUCUCAACAGUUAUCGAUCUGCCAGUCAUGGCAUUCUAAUAUUAAAGUGAUAAUCAGUUGCAGAUCAUGGGAGAGUUUGUCUUGUCUUCUUCAUCUACAGCAUGGACAAAGUUGCAGGUAGCUGUCUUGGCAGAUUGUCCAAAGCUCUCUCUAUAGGGAGUUGAGUAAUCUUUAGACCAAAGUGCCAUUUUAGUCUUAUUUCCAUGAAAUAACCUGCUAAAGAGGAUGCUGAGGUCUGGCUCUUUAACUGGUGUUUCUGUAGCUCAUUGGUGCAUACUAGAUGAUUUAUCCAGAUGGUGUACGGUGUGUAUAUUGGCUUAUUUGUGCACUUUAUGACAGUGACAUAUUCCAUAUGCCACAUGAGUAAUAUAACUUCAGCAAAGAAUCUGUGAUGUUUUGAGGUUAAUUGCAAAGUAUUUACAAAGCAUUCCAGAUGUUCAGGCCCUGGGCAGAUAGCACAGCUAAGCGGACAAGGGCACAUGUAUGAGUGUGGGGAUAGAUGAGUGUGAUUGGUUGUGCAUGAAUGUGUGGGUGAGCUGCUGCAGCGUUGGAUGGUGGCCGGCAAUUCCGUGAGCAAUAUGCUCGCCUCACCUCACCUCAGGUAUGGCUGCCGGUGUGGGCCCCCACCGUGGCCUACCUCCUACUGGGGUCUCCCCUGUGGCCCCUGCUCCUCAACAGGGCCCAAGGAGUAGUGCCAGGGGACAGCCUAACCAGCGGGGCUCCAGACACGCGGCCUACUACUGCAGGACGGCAUCCCCUACAUGGCGGCGGAUUACAGGCCAGGGGCGGUGGACGGCGGACAGUACCUUCCCAACGGCGGGCAGCCACCCAGCAGCUUUCCAGGUCUUCCCACGGCUGGGCCCAUGGCCCCUUUGGUGAGUAAGCCCGUGAGGGCCACGCGGGGUACCGCUGUACUGCUGUUUGGGCUUGGAGGGGGGGUCCUCCAGUGUGUCGGGAGCCUCCUCUGCUGGUGAGGAAGGCUCCCACGGGUCUGUCUCCCCUGUCCCCCCUCCUGUUUCCUUCCCCCCCCCGGUCUCUGGAAGUGUCCACUAGUUUCUCUUCUUCUCACUCCGGUCCCUCUGCCCCUCUCCCCAUCCCUGCCAGGUUUCCCACUCCUCUUUCUGUCCCCCCCCCCUGGCCAUCUCUCUGCCUUAUCUGGGUCCCCUCUGUCCUCCCCCCCUCUACUCUCACUGGACCCCUCUCCCCCCUGCUGGUCACCACCUCGGCCACCUCCUGUGGGGCGUGGGAGCUGACCAGCAGGUGGCACCUGGAAUACCUGUGAGGUCCUCAGUGGAUGCUGGAAUUCCUGUCACUUUGCCUCAACCUUCUGUGAUUGCAGCGCCGAGGUUGGAACGCCAGGCUGCAACGGGUAAGUGUGGUGUUCCCUCCUCUUCUAGUACUUCAGGUCCCACGCUGGGGGGCUCCUCUCAGGUCUUUGUGGGUUUGUAGAUCAGUGGGAGCAGGGGGCGGCAGUUAGUGGGGACAACUCUGUUACAGUACCUCCAGUAAUAAAUGUACAAACCGCAGUUUAGUGAAUGCUCCCCGUUCGCAAUAAUGUGGUCUGGUAGCGUAUGCAGUAUAACCAUGCGAACCGCCAGCCAGGGAACACUCCAAACUCCCGACCGGUACCUUUACGACUCCUUCCCUUCACGAGCUCCAAAUACACGAAUUGCCAAUAUUAGCCGAACGCCAAUAUCUUCCAAGCGGCAAAUAAUUCCAAUGAGCAGUCUCUAGUCGCCGGUAAUAAAAUCCCCCCAAUAACAAGACCAAGCUCCGCUUUGAGGGUAAAACACGAACUGAGUUUACUGUGGGCUACCUGCCCGUAUUUAUGCAGGUCUCCCACUUGGUGGACACUCCCCUAGGGGACCAAAUGGGAGACUGUAAUAGCAGAAGGACAUAGGGACAUUUUAGACAUACAACCCCACAAUAUUCCCAGCAUGCAUCACAGUUUCCUCCCCUCUGCUCGGGAGAUAAUUGAGAGGUAAUUCAAUUAUCUUCCAGAGCAGAGGCAAAUCGCCAUUUUAAAUAUAAGUCACAAAACACAUUAAAAUACAUAACUUUAUAACUGCCGAACGUAUUGCAUUCGUAUAACACAUCCCCAGAUGUCUGAGUGCAUAUUAUUGGCGAGUAGCGCUCAGAUCCCAUAUGCACAGUUCAAUCGCCAUGGAGUCAAAGACUAUUACAGUUCUUCGGUAUGCGAUUGACUCCAUGGGAAGGCUAUCUGGGGUAAGUCCAUUCGUGCCUUUAAACCUCUCGAACGGCCGGUGUUCACAUACUUCUGUCGAUUGAGAAGGGAGGUCGAUGGCUUCAGCGGUGUUCGGUUGAAAAAGUGUCCAUUUUUAGUUCCAUGAAAUAACCGUCGAACACCGCUGGUCUUUCACAUGGUUAAAAUGGCCGCUGCCUCGUGGUCGACAUACGAAUGACGACCACCCUGUAUUCGGUUUUUAAUGAGAAGGGUCUGUGGUUAACCGCAACGUUCUAAUUGGGAUCAAUAGGUUGACCAGCAGCACACUUCUCUUCUGGGUGGCCGUCCGUUCGGUAGUUCCGUUCGACAAAAAAAAUACAUUCCCUUAAACAAGGCAUACGAAUGGGGAAAUUCAUACAAACGGCAAAACAGACGAACACAGCAAUUCUAGGUUAUACGGAUGGGUCUGUCACAAACUCUAUGGAUGGUCAGCUUCCGUCGGUUUGGUCCUCAGCCCAGCACCCUCCUGCGGUUCAGUCCUUGUCCUUGGUGGGUAGGAGUCCAUUGCCUUCAGCGCCCCCAGGUCCCCCUUUUCCUGCGGUGUCCUGCGCUGUUGCCAGCACAGGCGACGCUUCUCUCGAGGUGGGUGUUUCGGGCGUGACGCGGCUUACAAGUGCUGGUCUGGCCUGAGCUUGCACUUGAAGCAGGAAAUGAGGGAAAUAAUAUGGAAAGAGGAGUUUGAGGAAAUAUUUUUCCUCCUGCCAUUGGAGGAAGCUCCUCCGGUGGUGGAAAAGGACAGUAAGGAGUCCGAAAAGGAUAGGGGAAAGUACCGCUAGACAUUUGGGAAUUAGAUUCGGGCAUUUUCUAUUUUGGCCAGCGUCGUGGGGGAGAAGUCUCCCCAGAAGUGCUCCACGUUGUUCUGCUAUCAGAACACUAUAUGGAACCCAUGUCGCACAUAUGGGGGGCUGGAUUGGUGGAGGUACGACGAACAGUUUCGUCAGCGGCUGGCAGUGCAUCCCUCGCUGUCCUGGGACCAGAUGGAUAUAGACUUCUGGCUCUCGAUUAUGACCAGUCCAGCCCCAGGUGUUUGCACAUCCUCCUCCUCCUCAUCGGCACCCAGCCAGAAGCCGUGCUGUUGUUGGAAGUUCAACGACCGUCACUGUAAGUGGGGGUCCUCAUGCCGGUUUAAGCACGACUGCUCCGGUUGCGGUGGUGCCCAUCCCAUCUCCCGCUGUUUCAAGCAGGGCAAAACUGGCUAAAAAGGGGACAUGGUGGCUAAGGGCGAUGACUCCAGUAGUCGUAAACAUGAUGCACCGGUGGCUCAACCUUUAUGAAUCGUAAGGUGGCAUGGAUCUUAUUGGAGGGGUUUGAGCAGGGUUUUUUGGAUCUCCUUCUCGGAGCGCCCUCCCUCACUCUCGGUUCGGAACCUUCGGUCUGUGUGGGAAUAACCUCAGGUAGUUCGGGAAAACCUGGAUAAGGAAGUCUCUGCCGGGUUUACUAUGCAUCCUUGAUGCGGCUGUUCAUAUGGUGCGGGCUGCGGGCCCAGGGGGCAUUGCUGACAAAGGCGGACGUGGAAUCGGCUCUCCACCGGCGACACUCCUCUCACUAACGCUGAGGGUUGAAGGAGGGGGGAGCAUGUCUCUCUCUCAUGCUCCGUUGUGGUUCCCACAUCCUGUGCUGGGAAUUGUAAGGUUCUUCUAUUAUUGGCAUAGGGUAGCUGAAUUUUGCUUGUCGGAUUUUGCCCAUGAGGCAUAUCUCUAACAGUUGUUUGACGGCGGUGACGUCUGGGGUCGCUCGCCCUCAGCACUAUAUUCGGCUUACUCUGCCCUGCCUGUCUGGCAUUCCUUCUUGGCCUCUUACAACAGUAGGACUUACUGGCAGGCCCCGGCGGUCUCUAAUGCUGACCUCCACCUGUUUACCAAUGCGGCUGGCUCGGUGGGUUUUGGGACCAAUAUGGGCUAGAAAUGGUGUGCUGACUCAUGGCCAGAGGACUGGCAUGCAGCAGGGCUCACGCGGAACUUGGCUUUUCUGGAGCUCUUCCCCAUGGCUUUGGAGGUAUGGGAUCCCCGACUCACUGACAGAUGGGUCGUUUUCCAUUGCGACAAUUUAGGGGUGGUGCAGGCUAUUAAUUAUUUGACUGCCUCUUCUCCCCCAGUGGUACGCUUGCUGCAGCGCUUGGUCCUGCGCUAUUUGGGUCUUAAUGUGUCUUGUAGGGCUGUACAUAUCCCGCGGGUUUGCAAUAUAAUGGCUGAUGCUCUCGUUCGCAGUGGGACGUGUUUCGGGCAGUGGCUCCGCAGGCCGAAUUGGAGGGUGUCCCAUGCCUAGUGUGGUCACUAGGUCUGGCACUGAUGGAGUUGGUCCAUGGGUUGGUCUCAGUGGCUACAUGGGCCCGCUAUAAUAAGUUGUGGAGGGAAUGGGACGGGUUGGAGCAGUCCCUUGGGGGUUUUCGGGACUCGAAUGCAGGGUCUGGUACGUUUCUUAGGGGCGUGGGAGGCUGCGGGGUUGUCCCCCUUUGUGAUGUUCUAGUUGUGGUGUUGGGAAGACGCUACCAAAGCAUUUAUAGUCCGCCAUGUCCUUAAGGGUUUGUGGCGGGGGGUGUCCUCACCGGACUAGAGGUGUCCUGUCUCAUGUGCUCUAUUGGCCAGUCUGUGCAAUUCCUUACCUAAGGUUUGCCAUUCUGAGUUUGAGGCCCAUCUCUUUCGGCUGGCUUUUUCCCUGGUGUUUUUUGGAGCCAUGUGGAUUGGGGAGCUGGUGUGUCUUAGUAGUCAACAGGUGUGGUGGGUGCUGUUUGGUGAUGUUUCUUGCACAGAGGAUCAGAUUUCCUUCAGGAUUCGCCGCUCAAAGACUGAUGUCUUUGGGAGGGGUAAGUGGGUCCGACUGGGGGCUGUGCCGGGUUCUGGCAUUUGUCCCGUUUUUUCCUUCGGUGAGUAUUGUUCCUUACGCCCAGCUUCUACGGCCAACCCCCUUUUGGUGCAUGAGGACGGUAGCUUUCUCUCUCACUUUCAGUUUAUUAUGUUGUUCCGCUUGGGGCUCAAAUUUCUGGGUAUUGAUAGCAGGGAGUUCAGGGGGCACUCAUUUCGUAUAGGGGCGGCCACUGAGGCCUCUAGACUUGGCAUGCCAGGCAUAUUUCUUAUAUUCGCCCGGCUUGUCUCCCGAGUUGAUUUCUCUCCACAGAUCCGGUUCCCCCCAGGAUUUAGAUCAUGGGACACUCCUAUGUCUAUUGGGCCAGGCAGCGUGCGACGGCCUGGAGGCAAGUAGUUGGGUUUAAGCCUUCCGAAGUGGAGAUUCGGUGGUUUGGUACAAGAGGCAUGAGGAGGGUGUGGCUCCUCCCUGACUUAGUUCAGUUGUCCCGCCUCCUGGGGGUUUUGAGUGUCCUGGUGAUCCAUCUGCGGGGGAAUGACCUGGGUUCGGUGCCUAUAUGGGACUUGGUGUCGGCCAUUAAACGUGACUUGGCACGCAUUUUAGUUCUAUUUCCUGAUUUACACCUGGUUUGGUCAGAGGUAAUUGCUCCUAAUUUCUGGCAGCGCGCUCGGAAACAGAGUGCCAUGGAGUGCUGCUGCCGAAAAUUGAAUAGGAGGGUUUCUAGGUUUUUAUUGGGGGUUCGGGGGAUUCCGGUUCGCCAUAGGGUUUUUGAGCGGGAUGCAGCCAAUCUAUUUCGAAGGGAUGGGGUGCACUUGACAGAGGUCAGGCUCGACCUCUUUAAUCUCGCUCUGCAGGAAGCUGUGGAACAGGCCAUGGGUGGUCUUGGUGGGGUCCCCCAUGAUUUUAGGCGUAAAACAGCGGGGUUGUGGCUGGGGGUAUGUCCUUGCCAAUUAAGUUUGAGGUGGUUAGGUUAAUUAUGUGGAAUGUAGUGAGCAAGUUUUCAGGUCUCAACCUCCCCUGCUCUAAUGGGUUAACCUUAGGUUACCUGUUAUGUCGUGCCCAACAAGCGAGGAAAAGGUCGGCUGGUGGUAAACAUUGGAAGGAAAAGGAGUUUAAGUCAAGGGGGGAGGUGAAAGGAAGUGGUACAAGUUUAUUGGCAAGGACGGUUGGGUUACACUGUAUGACACUAUGUGUCAAGUUAUAUGUUAAGUUAUGGUUAUUUAUGUUUUGACAUUUUGGUUAUAUCAAAGAAAAGAGAAUAUGAAAAUACACCUACCAUAGACUGGUCAUUUCUUUGUCAAUGGGCAAACUUUCAAAGUCAGCCGGGGAUCAAAUACUUUUUUCCCUUACUGUACCUACUGACACCAUUCACAGUUCUAUUUUACAUUACUAUUUUUUUUCUUCUCUGCUAAAUCACAUAGAUUGUGCUUCUGCUGUCUUUUCUCCCUUACUAUAUCAAAAGUACAGUAUUCAAGAUAUUUCAUGAUAUAUCCAUACCUUUCUAUUGUUAUCCACACUAUUACUUGUGAAUUGUCUAAACAAUCUAGUUUGUUAUGCUUUGCACUACAAAAAUAAAGAAUGUAAAAAAAAAUCACAGCUAGGAAACCUAAAUUAAAGAGGUUCUGAGGGAACUGAAAGUAUCAUUCUCAGAAUUGUUACUGCUUGUACUUCAGAUACUUAUCAUAUGUUUCUGCCUAACUCCACACAACAAAAUGUAAAUAUUUUCUCCCUGAAAAAAUAACCUUGGAAUGAGGAUAUGAGCCAAGAACAACCUGUCCCCACCAUAAUUCCACACCUGAGUAUGAGGUAAUAUCUUAGUAGAUUUAAAAAAAACAAAAAAACUGUUUCUGCCUUCCAGUAAACAGUACUUUAACAGAGUUCAAUGAAGAAACAGCCUAACAAAAAGUAUAAAUAUAUUCAGAUUGUCUCAUUUGUUACUUUAUACCUUUACCAUUUACUGUGAUCCACCAAUAUUCUCUGUGAGAAGCAUUGACUCCAAUUCUGCUCAGAGAGAAGCAACGGGGACACACUAGGAUGUUUGGUUUUUUUUUUUUUGCAAAAGGGAGAACUAUUGUCAAUUGUUAGUUAAUUUCAAUAUUAAGGACAAAGUAACCAAGCUGCAAAUUGCAAUUUUUCCAGUUCAACUAUUUUGGCCUUACAUAUGAAAUUUACUUUGGAUUCCCUAUUCCUUACCUUAUUAAAUAACUCUGCUAGUGUCUGCGAAUCUGGGGUCACACUACAACAGGAAAAAUAUCUGGCACCCAACUGAUGUCUCAGAAAUUAGAACAUUUGGGGCAUUAACCCUAGUAAUGCAUAUUGUUAAAAAGCCAAGUAUCAAGUCCUACUGGCACAAGCACUUAAUCCUGGCUACCCCUCUUUUCCGUGUUUCCCCAGAAAUUACUCAUUUUUUCAAAGCUCUACAGAAUGUGGUCUCUUAUCUUAUUCCUGUCUGACAAAUGUUCCCAAAAUUAUAUCCAACACCAAAACCUAUCUGUUGACAAAUCUAGAAAAUCUAAUACAGGUAGAUUGAUUUUUAAGCAAUAUAUCCCUUUAAAGUGGUCAUGAUAUGGCAUUAAAUAGUAUACUUUAUGCAAAUCCACUAAUUACACACAUGGCAUUUCAUAUUUAUGAAGUAAAGGAUAGCCAUCUUGACCAACCAGGAUGCUCUAAAUUUGUGGGUACAAAUGGCAAAAUUGUUUUGGAUCUGCUCCUUCCCUGGUUAAAUAAAAGUUAUCAUCUAUGAGUUAAUAAUUAUUAUACUAGUAUUGAUUUAUAAAUACAAAAAAGCAAGUCCUGCGCUCAAACUCCCAUUACUCCUGGGCAGCAGCAACGACCAUAGUACACAUCAGCCCCCAAUACAUACAGUAAAAAACAAAGAAAAAAGUUACCCGCACGAUUACAAAUCCUUAUGCAUAUUUAAACAAAUGAAUCUUAUUUAGUUUCUCCUAUGGCCAUGAGAGAGUUUAGCCCACCUCUCAGGAAAGGUUUGCCUUGACGUGGCAGGUGGGCUAAACUCUCUCAUGACCAUUGGAGAAACUAAAUCACCUCUGUGACGAAGUGCCCUUCGCCACUUGUGCCUGGAGAGGACUAAUUGCCAGCCUCCUGCCCUGCGACUAUGGCCCCUGGAAGAUUUUGCCCUUUAAAUACGUUAUUUAGGCAUCUUGGAUUUUAUUAGACUGGUUCUGGCCCUUUCAAUGCUCUGACAAAGGAUCUGCAGUUUUGCUAUGCACUUCGGAUGCAGACUGUGAAGAUACCCCUGUUUUAUGGACUUAGUUUGACUGUUUUGUUCCCCCCUCCCUUAGAACACCAGUUUAAACCCUUAAUAACUGUCAUAUUUUCAAACACUGUCUGUCUUUAACUGUCAUUUUGUUUUCCUCUGAGGAGGAGUUGUUUUGCUGCAUGAGUGCUGUUGCUUUUGUGUGCUCAUUAAACAGACCUGCUUGACCAUUUCUUGAAGCCUUGGCUCAUGCUUGGGGGAUGGGAUAAGUCUGCAGUGCUGAUGGUGUCGGUUGGAGUGCUUGGAGUCCUCGGCAAGCACUAGGAGCAUCGAUUGACGGAGGUACUCGGUUGGAGUGCCAGCGGGUCCGUCACAACCUCCAUUUGUUUAAAUAUGCAUAGGGAUUUGGGAAGAGCUCGGGUAACUUUUUUCUUUGGUUUUUAUAGUAUUGAUUUAUGUAAAAGUGUAUUCUGUUUUGAAACCCUAGCAUGUGUUACAUUGCGUAAAACAUACAAAAGUAUCACCCAAACCCUGGCUAGUGGCAGAAACGGUAAAGGUUUAUAGUCCAUGGAACAGCCUAGCAGGGGAAUGGGCCUUGACAGGGCCAGCAGUUAGGCAUGGGAAGAGUUAAGUGGGAAGGUUAAUGGAGGGGGCGGGGCUUUAGGCCUGUCAUAUAUAACACCAUCUUGAGUAGUGGCCAUCUUAAGCAAAUCUGCACUUACCUGUUAGUUGUCUGUCAGGCUUGUGUGGGUUUUCUGUUUUGUUUUCCAGAUGGAUUUGAUUGAAGAGUUCCAGGCUGGAGUGCAUGCUGUCAUGAGAGAUCGUGGUUUUGCAUGGCUGCAGG